Molecule: ribosomal RNA, 120 nt
Organism: Penicillium italicum
Lineage: Eukaryota; Fungi; Ascomycota; Eurotiomycetes; Eurotiales; Aspergillaceae
Source: Rfam
ACAUACGACCAUAGGGUGUGGAAAAUAGGGCUUCCCGUCCGCUCAGCCGUACUCAAGCCACACGCCGGUGAGUUAGUAGUUGGGUGGGUGACCACCAGCGAAUCCUCACUGUUGUAUGUU